Arachis ipaensis is the source of this 1494-nucleotide non-coding RNA. The record is from RefSeq and is a predicted model, not a curated record. Lineage: Eukaryota; Viridiplantae; Streptophyta; Magnoliopsida; Fabales; Fabaceae.
AAUCGAUUGUGCACUACACCAGGAACGGAACACAAUGGCGAAGAAUUGGAGGCCCAUCCCCUUGCCCCCACAAAACAAGUCCGUGGAAGCAUAUUCCCUUUGCAUGCCGCAACAUCAGCGGCGAUUGAAUCAGGAAACGCCGCCAAGGAAACCCGCGAAGAGUCCUCGGUAGCGCGCGAAACACUGCCUUCGCUACUCUACCACGCCACUGCUGCCGAUUCAUCGUCCUCUCUCUGCCGUCAAACUUUUGCCUCUCAUCCACAGUUCCUGAAACCCAUACUCCCUCAUCCAAGGUGUGUGAAAUCCUAACCUCUGCUCCACCUCGCGCCUCUGUGUGGGUUGUCAAUUUGCGCAGUUUCCAUCCGUGCUUCUCCCACUGACGUCAAACGAGCCCAUCCCCUCGAUCGUGCGUAAAACCGUUACACCCUCCUUCACCGUGCUCCAAUCUCAUCCAUCACUGCCUCUCUCCUGUCACUGGACUGUAAAAUUGCACUAAGCAGAGAAGCUCACACUCUGAUCAAGGUAUUAUCUUAUACCCAUUAAUUGAUUCUCCACAACCGACACGCUAGCUAGUUUCUCCAACAACAAGCAUUGUAAGAUUAAAGUACCAACAAUAUUUCGAUUUCGAUGGCACAAUCAAGCUGGCAAGACUAAGAGUGAGGGAGGCUAUGGAACGGCCUAACGGUAGAAAGAUCGUGCUCAGGUUCAACAAUGGAAAGCAAGCAAUUGGAAACGAAACUGGACUGUUGAGUGGCGUGCUUGGUCUGCUAGGAUCUGACUUUGGAAAAUUUCCUAUCUGUGAGGAAAGUUCGCGUAAGAUUACCACUAAGGACAAGGUUUAUAACGAAUGUGUCAAGCAAAUUUUUCACUUUGAUGAAGAUAGCGAAGGAACUAUCAAAAAAAAUAUUUUGAAAAGUAUGCAAAAGUCUUGGAAGGAAACAAGGUUGAGGUUGUAUAAGGCUUUUUACGAGCCAACAUUCACGACUGAACAAAAUAUUGAUCACCGUCCGCCGGAAAUCGAUCGAGAGCAUUGGAGAUGGUUCCUUGACUAUCGCGCCAAAGUUGAGACGAAGACCAAUAGGAGAAGUGCAAGAAAAAUGCGAAGAAUCGAUCAAAACAACUAUAUACCCACACUGGCAGUUCGAAAAGCUUUGCACAGCGGAUGAAAGAAUCAGAGGAAGCUGCUUGAACUGCAGGCAGAGCUGGAAGGCGAAAAGUUGAGGAAGGCGAUGGAGGAUGAGGCAGCAGUAGAGAAGAAAAAGAUGAAGGUGAUGGAGAGUGCUAUGAUUUAUCUGUUUCAACAGCAAGGUGAGGAGCUACCACCAGACAUCGCUGCAGGGAUGCGUUUCGUGGAAUGAUAGAGUGAAAAAUAGAAUAUUAGGAUUGGAGAUAUUUUAGAUUUAAGCAAACAUUUUAUUGAAUUAGACUGAGCAACUCUUUGAAAAAGAUUUAUUUUCUUCGUAUUUUGAUGAAUAUAUUAUUUUGUUUGGCUUA